RNAcentral lists this transfer RNA (104 nucleotides) under Plenodomus lingam JN3. RNAcentral's name for it is "tRNA-Met for anticodon CAU". It matches the Rfam family "tRNA". Rfam says of the family: Transfer RNA (tRNA) molecules are approximately 80 nucleotides in length. Their secondary structure includes four short double-helical elements and three loops (D, anti-codon, and T loops). Lineage: Eukaryota; Fungi; Ascomycota; Dothideomycetes; Pleosporales; Leptosphaeriaceae. The record is from Rfam by way of RNAcentral.
GUCCCGUUGGUGUAGUUGGUUAUCACGUGGGUCUCAUAUCGUCAUAUAUGACUACUCCUGGAGUAGACAUCCCAAGGCCACGAGUUCGAAUCUCGUACGAGACA